Molecule: long non-coding RNA, 1555 nt
Organism: Lycium barbarum (goji berry)
Lineage: Eukaryota; Viridiplantae; Streptophyta; Magnoliopsida; Solanales; Solanaceae
Exons: 3
Source: RefSeq, a predicted model, not a curated record
UGCAGCGCAGCCUACCGGAUUAGUCGCUGGGUCAUCGUCUCCUUCGAUAGCCAUGCGCCCUGCGGGGCAGGGUACGUCGACAUCAGCAAGCCGCGGCAGAGGUCGUGGCGGGGCUCCCAGUUCAAGCGGUCCUUCGAACCGCAUCUAUGCCUUGACUAGUCGACAGGACCCGGAGGCGCUACCAAACGCGGAUACAGGUAUACUAAUGUCUUUUUCGAAAUAUAAGUGUAUUAACAGAUUUAGCCUCUACUAUGUGAUAUAUUUUCCCCAAAAUGCUUACAAGACCCUAUAAGAUUAAUUUAACAUUCGAGGACGAAUGUUCUAAAGGGGGGGAGGAUGUUACAUCCCGUAUUUUUGAACGUCGGAUUAAUUGUAAGUUGAGGUGGGGCCCACACGUCAAGAUUUUUUUUUGGGACAUGUGACAAAUUAUAUGAAUCACAUAUGUGAAGUUAAACACAACUCAGGAAGGACCCUUGGGCCAAAUCAAAGUGGAAGUCCUCCAAACGAAUAUUUUUAAGAAAACGUUUUCGGGUGACCUGACUUUGGGGGGCCAAAACGGUAUUAUAUGUUUGGAAUUUGGAAAAAUACCAAGAAGUAAAAGUUGUAGAUAAUUGAAUUAUCUUUCCAUCCAUAGGUCGUGGGUUCCCAGGUGACGUCGGUACAAGGAGAUAUGAACGUUUUAAGGCAGAAAGGUCAGUGGGCUAGGCCCAAUCCGAGCCCAACCGGGUUAGGCCCAUUACCCAUGUCCUUAUAAGUGCCAAUUUCGGCCUUCUUCAUCAUUUUAACACCAGGAACAACCAGAAAAUUCUGGAAAAAGAGAGAGGAGCUUUGGAGAGAAAAAAAAACAAUUUUGACCAAAAUCCGAGCCCCGAAUCCCGAAGCCCAUGAAGGGAAAAGUGUUGUACGCUACGUUGUCUUCAAUUUGAGCUAAAAAUCAACCAAAGAGGAGAGUGAUGACGUGGUGGCUGCCUACUUAAGGUUUUGGACGAAACGGGGUUUGAGUUUUGGCAAGCGUAAAGGGCAAGAAAGGUACCGACGACAGGUUUGCUGAUCCGUCCGCUUAGGAUCUUAUUCUCCUAUUUUGGAGCGCUCUCUUAUCCAGAGCCCAUCUUUUGGUAUAGUCUGUCACUACUGUAUAUAUAUAUUCUCGUUCAUGGGUACAGCGGGGCCCUGUCCCGUCAUAUGAUUAUGUCGGUCUGUUUAGAGGUCUGUGGACAUGUUUGUGGGUUAGGGUCUUUCUGUAUGGAUGUAUGUACAUGUCGUUUGGGCGAUCCCAUACGCCGAGGCGGCCGGUCCGCGUAUGUUUAUAUAUUGCUUGGUUAGCCCUGUGUGGCUUUUGUUGGUAUUUUCUGCGUGCAGGGUAUAUUGGAUAGUCCGUAAAACAAAGGAAACUCUGUCGAAAUUUUUCUGGAAAUUACCUAAAUUUGAAAUAAAGCCUUGUCGGCUUCCGCCAUAUACUAGAAUGAGUUGAUAGAAUUUGAGAUAAUAUUUGAUAGAUGGGUUCGGGUGCCCAGAUCGGGCACUAGUCACGGCCGACGGGGUUGGGUCGUGACAG